UAUAUAUAUCUACGUAUAGUACCCAAUAAUUGUAGAGCCAUUUGACUCACUAUUAGCGGCAAUAUAAAUAUUUUCCCCCACUGUUGCCAAAUUUAUACAGUAUACAUACCGUAAACUAUUUAAUAAAUGCCCAGGUAUCUAAUGGAUGUCGCUCUCUAUUCAACGUCUCUUAUCUAUGAUGUAGCUAUGAAGUCUUAGUAAUGCAGAGGCUCGAUCUAAACUGCAGGUUUUAGGUUAGUGCAGAUCAUAGUAUUAUAUUAACUAUGUGCAGAUUGAUGGUCGAGUUUUGGAGAGGAAUUUUGGACAUCUCACUAAUCAUAGUUAAUUAUGCACUAAUAUAAAACAUUUUCCAUGUUGAUAUACAGUUAUAUCAACACGAGUGGAAAUUGGGAAUACUCGAAUUGUGUGAAAACACGACGUCCAAAGGGCGGAGUGUUUUCACACAAUUUCGAGUAUUCACAAUUUCCACGAGUGUUGAUAUAACUGUAUAUCAAUACGGAAAAAAAUUAUAUUUGUUUUAUAAUAUAGCACAAAGAAACAUAAAGAAAUUUUCCGAUGUUUCCGUGUUGA
Non-coding RNA from Paramuricea clavata, 570 nucleotides. The record is from the annotation of a GenBank genome assembly. NCBI's taxonomy places the organism in Eukaryota, Metazoa, Cnidaria, Anthozoa, Malacalcyonacea, Plexauridae.